Molecule: non-coding RNA, 231 nt
Organism: Lonchura striata (white-rumped munia)
Lineage: Eukaryota; Metazoa; Chordata; Aves; Passeriformes; Estrildidae
Source: RefSeq, a predicted model, not a curated record
AAUGGGGUGGAGGAAGGAAUCAGAAGAGUAAAGGAAAUAGUGUCUCUUAACAGCAGAUGCCAUCUCAAACUACAAGGAAGAGGUUUGCCAUUUCAGCCUGGAAGAAGCCCUACACAGCUACACCACAUCCAUUCAUUCCCCUUGAACAGAAUCACAGAAUUCACAGAAUAAGCUGAGUUGGAUGGGAUUUACAAGGAUCAUCAAGUCUACCUCCUGGCCAUUCAGAAGAUG